UACGUAGGGCGCAAGCGUUGUCCGGAAUUAUUGGGCGUAAAGAGCGUGUAGGCGGCCUGAAAGGUCAGCUGUGAAAACUCGAGGCUCAACCUCGAGACGUCGGUUGAAACCGUCUGGCUAGAGUCCGGAAGAGGAGAGUGGAAUUCCUGGUGUAGCGGUGAAAUGCGCAGAUAUCAGGAGGAACACCGAUGGCGAAGGCAGUGUUCUGGGCCAGUACUGACGCUGAGGAGCGAAAGCGUGGGGAGCAAACAGG
RNAcentral lists this ribosomal RNA (253 nucleotides) under uncultured bacterium. RNAcentral's name for it is "partial 16S ribosomal RNA". It matches the Rfam family "Bacterial small subunit ribosomal RNA", at positions 524 to 776 of the family's 1533-position model. The record is from RNAcentral.